This 253-nucleotide ribosomal RNA is filed under the name uncultured bacterium. Its description in RNAcentral is "partial 16S ribosomal RNA". It matches the Rfam family "Bacterial small subunit ribosomal RNA", at positions 524 to 776 of the family's 1533-position model. The record is from RNAcentral.
GACGAACCGUGCGAACGUUGUUCGGAAUCACUGGGCUUAAAGGGCGCGUAGGCGGCCGGGUUGGUCGCGGGUGAAAUCCCCCAGCUUAACUGGGGAACUGCCUACGAUACUGCCUGGCUCGAGGGAGGAAGGGGCGGUCGGAACUGUCGGUGGAGCGGUGAAAUGCGUUGAUAUCGACAGGAACGCCGGUGGCGAAAGCGGACCGCUGGCCCUCUUCUGACGCUGAGGCGCGAAAGCCAGGGGAGCGAACGGG